AGUGAACGCUGGCGGUAGGCCUAACACAUGCAAGUCGAACGGCAGCACAGUAAGAGCUUGCUCUUACGGGUGGCGAGUGGCGGACGGGUGAGGAAUACAUCGGAAUCUACUUUUUCGUGGGGGAUAACGUAGGGAAACUUACGCUAAUACCGCAUACGACCUACGGGUGAAAGCAGGGGAUCUUCGGACCUUGCGCGAUUGAAUGAGCCGAUGUCGGAUUAGCUAGUUGGCGGGGUAAAGGCCCACCAAGGCGACGAUCCGUAGCUGGUCUGAGAGGAUGAUCAGCCACACUGGAACUGAGACACGGUCCAGACUCCUACGGGAGGCAGCAGUGGGGAAUAUUGGACAAUGGGCGCAAGCCUGAUCCAGCCAUACCGCGUGGGUGAAGAAGGCCUUCGGGUUGUAAAGCCCUUUUGUUGGGAAAGAAAAGCAGCAGGUUAAUACCCCGCUGUCCUGACGGUACCCAAAGAAUAAGCACCAGCUAACUUCGUG
This 492-nucleotide ribosomal RNA is filed under the name uncultured bacterium. RNAcentral's name for it is "partial 16S ribosomal RNA". It matches the Rfam family "Bacterial small subunit ribosomal RNA", at positions 29 to 507 of the family's 1533-position model. The record is from RNAcentral.